CUCACUACUAAGCUAUCUAUCACUGCUAAUCUAUCGCUGCCAACCUAUCUAUCGCUGCCAAUUUAUCUACCACUGCCAAUCUAUCUAUCACUGCUAAUCUAUUGCUGCUAAUCUAUCGCUGCUAAUCUAUCGCUGCCAACCUAUCUACCGCGGCGAAUCUAUCUAUUGCUGCCAACCAACCUACCACUGACAACCUAUCUAUCGCUGCCAAUCUAUCGCUGCCAAUCUAUCGCUGCCAACCUAUCUACCCCAGUGAAUCUAUCUAUCACUAUCAUUACUAGUUCAAAAUAGAACUAGAGCAUAAAUACACUAAACUUCUUUUGAUAGAUAAUGAUUUUUGGUAACACUCAUAGCAUUAUAUCAUCUAUAUAGGGUAAAUCAUGGUCCCAUUUGGUCCCAUUUUAACAAAAUGAGAUCAAAUGGAAUCAGAAUCAGUAAUUUAUAAGAAGAACAUGACCUGGGACUAGAUUUAUAAUAUAAACAGUGUAAAGUGACUAAUUUAAUAAACACUAUAUGAGACC
This 521-nucleotide small RNA is filed under the name Histoplasma ohiense. RNAcentral's name for it is "hypothetical lncRNA". The record is from RNAcentral. Lineage: Eukaryota; Fungi; Ascomycota; Eurotiomycetes; Onygenales; Ajellomycetaceae.